RNAcentral lists this ribosomal RNA (118 nucleotides) under Saimiri boliviensis boliviensis (Bolivian squirrel monkey). Lineage: Eukaryota; Metazoa; Chordata; Mammalia; Primates; Cebidae. The record is from RNAcentral.
GCCUACGGCCAUACCACCCUGGACGCACCCAAUCUUGUCUGAUCUCGGAAGCUAGGCAGGGUCAGGCCUAGUUAGUACUUGGAUGGGAGGAAGAAUGUCAACUCUAGAGAUUUAGCAA